CUACGGGGGGCUGCAGUGGGGAAUAUUGCACAAUGGACGAAAGUCUGAUGCAGCAACGCCGCGUGGAGGAUGACACAUUUCGGUGCGUAAACUCCUUUUAUAUAGGAAGAUAAUGACGGUACUAUAUGAAUAAGCACCGGCUAACUCCGUGCCAGCAGCCGCGGUGAUACGGAGGGUGCAAGCGUUACUCGGAAUCACUGGGCGUAAAGAGCGUGUAGGCGGGUAGUUAAGUCAGAAGUGUAAUCCAAUAGCUCAACUAUUGAACUGCUUUUGAAACUGAUUACCUAGAAUAUGGGAGAGGUAGAUGGAAUUUCUGGUGUAGGGGUAAAAUCCGUAGAGAUCAGAAGGAAUACCGAUUGCGAAGGCGAUCUACUGGAACAUUAUUGACGCUGAGACGCGAAAGCGUGGGGAGCAAACAGGAUUAGAUACCCGGGUAGUC
Molecule: ribosomal RNA, 439 nt
Filed under: uncultured bacterium
Lineage: Bacteria
Description: partial 16S ribosomal RNA
Rfam family: Bacterial small subunit ribosomal RNA
Source: RNAcentral